AUGUAUUUUGUGAGGGAUCUUGGUGUGGGGAUUACAGGAAUGGAUGAAAUUUGUGAUGAUGAUAAGGUGGAUGAAAUGCUUGACCAUAUUGCUAACAAUGAUCAGCAUGUAGUGAACUUGACAGUGGUUAGGGGCACUGAUCCAAGACCUGCAGAUUUGAACUCAGGCUAUCUGGUUGAGGAGCAGGUUCCUUUGAGCCAUAUAGGAGAGAACCCUGUUUAUGUAGUAAAUCCUUCUGGUGUUCUCUUAAGAUCACCACCAAAAAGUAUAAUACAGAGUCAGCCAGAGCCAUUGCAGUUCUACACUACACAGCAGAGCACAAACCAUGAUCUGGAUACAAAUGCUGCCAUGGACCAAUCUAAUGCAGCAGGUCAGGCUGAACUGGAGACAUUAAUGGAGUUGAAAAGGAGAACAAAGAUUGCCAAAUUUAGGAAACAUAAGAUUGCAGCUGAGCAUGUAAAUAAGGUUAAUAAGAAGCUAUCAAUUCUUCUAACUGAAGAUGAUUCAGAUCUGGAUGCAGAUGAGGACUAUCUUCAGAGGCUUAAUGAGAUGAGGAAGCAAAGAAAGGAUCCACUCAUUCAUUUUGAUGGAGACACUGAUGUGGAUGAACUAUAUGAGGAGGAUGAGGAAGGGCAACAUGUGGAGGUGGAGCAAGAGGAGCAGGUGGAGCAAGAUGAGCAGGUGGAGCACCAAGAGGUGCCUACAAAGAAGAAGAAAGCUAGAAAAGGGCCAACAGAGAGGAAUAUGAUGAUGGAGCUGAGGAAGUACAAUUUGUUCUGCCCAAUGGAAGGAAGAGCAGAUCAGUGA
RNAcentral lists this ribosomal RNA (807 nucleotides) under Triticum aestivum (bread wheat). RNAcentral describes it as "partial small subunit ribosomal RNA". The record is from RNAcentral. Lineage: Eukaryota; Viridiplantae; Streptophyta; Magnoliopsida; Poales; Poaceae.